Danio aesculapii is the source of this 665-nucleotide long non-coding RNA. RefSeq lists it as uncharacterized. The record is from RefSeq and is a predicted model, not a curated record. The transcript is spliced from 4 exons. NCBI's taxonomy places the organism in Eukaryota, Metazoa, Chordata, Actinopteri, Cypriniformes, Danionidae.
UAGGUUGACAUGCAAUCAGGUUGUGAUUGUUUAGUUUUGAUUACAUAAACUUAGUUUUGACUACAUAAACUGUGCGCAUGGGAUUUUGGAUGGAUUCCAUCCAAAUGUAAAGCAAGCGUUCGCUUUUACGCAAGUCAUGAUGACCAUUUGGCUGUACCCUUGUCUUGUUAAACACCUCAUGGAAACGUUGUACCGUCCUCUCACAAAGGCUGAAAACCAUCGGUGGGCGCCAUUACUCUAAAAGUGAAGGCGAGCAGUUCCUUUCUCUCAAUCCAGCAAACUCGAGCCUCAACAAACAACCCUGACUGCAGUCUGGAGCGUAAUUUUCUACUCAAGAAAAAAAAUAGGGUUACCUACAUCUUGGAUGAGGGACGGCUGAUUCAGAGGCGGUCUUUUCACAUCAUCUCCAUUGUCAUUCCACUAUUUGAAUCCAUUUACACCCUCUCCAAUGGUCUUGUGUUGGGAGCUGCUGGUUUUCACGCAUGCGGAUGAGACCGAGGAGGGCACGGUGUUGGCCGAGGUGGGAGACUGUUGGCUGCCCUGGGGGAGGAGUAUGAGCUAGGUGUAGGAAAUGCAAGUAAACACAUUAAGCCCUCGGGACUCCAGCGGUGUUUAGAGUGAGAUCGGGAGCUCCUGAGGGCCAACAGCUACACCCCAAAAAGAGU